AGGAAUGGGCUGGGAUUAUCUGGAGAUGUGUCCUCCCUCCUCGCCCACCCUGCUCUCUCUUAAACAUUACCCCUGUUAGGAGCGCCGGCUGCAUAUGUAUGUGGUGUACUGUCAGAAUAAGCCCAAGUCAGAGCAUGUGGUGUCAGAGUUUGGGGACAGCUACUUUGAGGAGCUCCGGCAGCAGCUGGGGCACCGCCUGCAGCUGAACGACCUCCUCAUCAAACCUGUGCAGCGGAUCAUGAAAUACCAGCUGCUGCUCAAGGAUUUUCUCAAGUAUUACAAUAGAGCUGGGAUGGAUACUGCAGAGCUAGAGCAAGCUGUGGAGGUCAUGUGCUUUGUGCCCAAGCGCUGCAACGAUAUGAUGACGCUGGGGAGAUUGCGGGGAUUUGAGGGCAAACUGACUGCUCAGGGGAAGCUCUUGAGCCAGGACACUUUCUGGGUCACCGAGCCUGAGGCUGGAGGGCUGCUGUCUUCCCGAGGUCGAGAGAGGCGUGUCUUCCUCUUUGAGCAAAUCAUCAUCUUCAGUGAAGCCCUGGGAGGAGGAGUGAGGGGUGGAACACAGCCUGGAUAUGUAUACAAGAACAGCAUUAAGGCUGCAGACCCUGCUAUCAGUCAGGCCUGGAUCAAGCAUGUGGCUCAGAUCUUGGAGAGCCAACGGGACUUCCUCA
RNAcentral lists this small RNA (668 nucleotides) under Pongo abelii (Sumatran orangutan). RNAcentral describes it as "retained intron". Lineage: Eukaryota; Metazoa; Chordata; Mammalia; Primates; Hominidae. The record is from RNAcentral.